This 301-nucleotide ribosomal RNA is filed under the name uncultured bacterium. RNAcentral describes it as "partial 16S ribosomal RNA". It matches the Rfam family "Bacterial small subunit ribosomal RNA", at positions 509 to 807 of the family's 1533-position model. The record is from RNAcentral.
CAGCCGCCGCGGUAAUACGGAGGGUGCAAGCGUUAAUCGGAAUUACUGGGCGUAAAGCGUGCGUAGGCGGUUCGUUAAGUCUGUUGUGAAAUCCCCGGGCUCAACCUGGGAAUGGCAAUGGAUACUGGCAAGCUAGAGCGUGUCAGAGGAUGGUGGAAUUCCCGGUGUAGCGGUGAAAUGCGCAGAGAUCGGGAGGAACAUCAGUGGCGAAGGCGGCCAUCUGGGACAACACUGACGCUGAGGCACGAAAGCGUGGGGAGCAAACAGGAUUAGAUACCCCCGUAGUCCCUGUCUCUUAUAC